AGAUUGAACGCUGGCGGCAUGCUUUACACAUGCAAGUCGGAACGGCAGCGGCGGGGCAACCCUGGCGGCGAGUGGCGAACGGGUGAGUAAUGUAUCGGAACGUAUCCUGUAAUGGGGGAUAACCAGUCGAAAGAUUGGGUAAUACCGCAUACGCACGAGAGUGGAAAGUAGGGGAUCGCAAGACCUUACGUUAUAGGAGCGGCCGAUAUCUGAUUAGCUAGUUGGUGGGGUAAAGGCCUACCAAGGCGACGAUCAGUAGCUGGUCUGAGAGGACGACCAGCCACACUGGGACUGAGACACGGCCCAGACUCCUACGGGAGGCAGCAGUGGGGAAUUUUGGACAAUGGGCGAAAGCCUGAUCCAGCCAUGCCGCGUGCAGGAAGAAGGCCUUCGGGUUGUAAACUGCUUUAGUCUAGGAAAAAGGGGUGCGAGGUUAAUACCCUCGUGCUUUGAUGGUACUGGAAGAAUAAGCACCGGCUAACUACGUG
RNAcentral lists this ribosomal RNA (488 nucleotides) under uncultured bacterium. RNAcentral's name for it is "bacterial SSU rRNA". It matches the Rfam family "Bacterial small subunit ribosomal RNA", at positions 26 to 507 of the family's 1533-position model. The record is from RNAcentral.